This 76-nucleotide transfer RNA is filed under the name Pseudomonadota bacterium. RNAcentral's name for it is "tRNA-Trp". It matches the Rfam family "tRNA". From Rfam's summary of the family: Transfer RNA (tRNA) molecules are approximately 80 nucleotides in length. Their secondary structure includes four short double-helical elements and three loops (D, anti-codon, and T loops). Further hydrogen bonds mediate the characteristic L-shaped molecular structure. tRNAs have two regions of fundamental functional importance: the anti-codon, which is responsible for specific mRNA codon recognition, and the 3' end, to which the tRNAs corresponding amino acid is attached (by aminoacyl-tRNA synthetases). tRNAs cope with the degeneracy of the genetic code in two manners: having more than one tRNA (with a specific anti-codon) for a particular amino acid; and 'wobble' base-pairing, i.e. permitting non-standard base-pairing at the 3rd anti-codon position. The record is from RNAcentral. RNAcentral also lists the same sequence under 4 other names. Lineage: Bacteria; Pseudomonadati; Pseudomonadota.
AGGGGUAUGGUGUUAACGGUUAGCAUGGAGGUCUCCAAAACCUUAGGUCCGGGUUCGAAUCCUGGUACCCCUGCCA